This 76-nucleotide transfer RNA is filed under the name Oscillospiraceae bacterium. Its description in RNAcentral is "tRNA-Thr". It matches the Rfam family "tRNA". Rfam says of the family: Transfer RNA (tRNA) molecules are approximately 80 nucleotides in length. Lineage: Bacteria; Bacillati; Bacillota; Clostridia; Eubacteriales; Oscillospiraceae. The record is from RNAcentral.
GCCGAUGUAGCUCAGUUGGUAGAGCAGCUGAUUCGUAAUCAGCAGGUCAGCGGUUCGAGUCCGCUCACCAGCUCCA